RNAcentral lists this unclassified non-coding RNA (204 nucleotides) under soil metagenome. Its description in RNAcentral is "partial contains 5.8S ribosomal RNA, internal transcribed spacer 2, and large subunit ribosomal RNA". The record is from RNAcentral.
AACAAGGCGUACCUGCGGACCUGCGGAGGGAUCAUUACCGAGUUUACAACUCCCAAACCCCUGUGAACAUACCUAUACGUUGCCUCGGCGGAUCAGCCCGCGCCCUGUAAAAAGGGACGGCCCGCCCGAGGACCCUAAACUCUGUUUUUAGUGGAACUUCUGAGUAAAACAAACAAAUAAAUCAAAACUUUCAGCAACGGAUCU